GCCUCGGUGGUGCAGUGGUAGGAGCACGCGUGCCCGGUAUGGAUGAAGAGAGGGUUCGAUUCCCGCCUGAGGCC
This is a non-coding RNA of Parelaphostrongylus tenuis, 74 nucleotides long. The record is from the annotation of a GenBank genome assembly. NCBI's taxonomy places the organism in Eukaryota, Metazoa, Nematoda, Chromadorea, Rhabditida, Metastrongylidae.